Molecule: long non-coding RNA, 444 nt
Organism: Arabidopsis thaliana (thale cress)
Lineage: Eukaryota; Viridiplantae; Streptophyta; Magnoliopsida; Brassicales; Brassicaceae
Product: other RNA
Exons: 1
Source: RefSeq
UAAUUUGGUUUGGCUCUUGCUAACAUUUACCCAAUGAAAGAAUUUGGUUUCACAGAGUUAUGAUAGGAAUAUGGUUUCACAGAGUUAUGAUAGGUCUACGUCGACCUAUCAGGAUUUUCAAGUGACUUAGUCUAGGGAGUAGUGAACUAGUUGGAGAUAGUUAGAUAUCACUGAGGAUCUAUUGUUGGAGAUACUAGUGAAAUUACCAGUGAAACAGGUGACGAGGGCAAUGCGCGUCUCACAACACUGGUAUUCCGUAAUCUCCUCCAGCUAUUUUACCUAUCGUUUCCUUGAAUCACCAGCAUCGUCGAAACGACCACGUUUGCUCAUGUCUCUUGUGGACGAGGAAGACCAGAACAGGUAUGAUUUUCUUUCAUCAACGUCCAUUAAUGAUCGCGGAGAUACGUCUAUGUUCGAUGAAAUUCUGAAGAUGCCGGGAUGGGA